Molecule: long non-coding RNA, 785 nt
Organism: Triticum dicoccoides
Lineage: Eukaryota; Viridiplantae; Streptophyta; Magnoliopsida; Poales; Poaceae
Exons: 5
Source: RefSeq, a predicted model, not a curated record
GAGUGCGGCGAUGAGUCCGACCAGGGCGUGCUGGCAGAGGAGGCCCAGGAGCUCGCCGCCCCUGAUGGCGAGGGCGUGCCCGACUUGGAUGGUGGCCGCCAAGGACAACGCCAGUGAGGACGUCGUCCCGGAGUUCAUUGAUGGCCUCAUCCCAUUUGACAAGGCGUGUACCACUACUAGUGCGUCCCUGUGGACGGCAGGAGAAAUAGUGAGGAUGAAGAGGUGAAUGGUGUUGAUUGUUGAACUGAAAGCUUGAUUUGGUCAGGUGGAGGGUGGCUUUGUGAAGGAUGGGGAGGUGGGAGAAGAACUCUGAAGGAAAGCGGUGAGUAGAUGUCGAUGAUGUCUACUUGCUUGGCUGCUAUGGUGAUGCAUGCACCGGUGAAGCACGCACACAUGCAAGGUUGGCCCCAUGUCUUCCUUGGCUGCGAACAUCAUCUAUAGGCUAGCAGUAUGACCGGAUGCGAGGACCUGCUCACUGACCAGGACAAUCUAUGAGCUCCCAGCACCUCUUAUACAAGGUGUGUUAGGGCCAACCUCUUUCAGAAGAAGGCCACACUCGUAGCCCCUCUGGAUCAAAAUUGGAUGGCAAGUUUUCGCAACUGGAGCAAGUCUCACAAGAGAGAGCAAUGAAGUCCAUUGUACUCUCCUGUUAUAUACUUCUUGUUGUAGGAUGGCAAGUUGUAGGAUGUGCCAUAAUUGUCUUAUUGCAUAUUCCCUUUGUUCCUUCUAUAUUCCUCUAUAAGGAAAUGUAUUCCUAAGAUGAUUUGUUAUGUAAACCUGAUGUG